UAAAGUGCGAUAUCUAGUGCGAUUUGCAUGAAUCUGUGAGUCAUCGAGUCUUUGAACGCAACUUGCGCCACUUGGGCAACCAAGUGGCAUGUCUGUUUGAGUAUCACAAACCUCUUUAUUCCAAGCUUGGAAUAGAUUUGAAGGCUUUGGAGUUUUCCAAUCCUUUGAAAUAAAGUUUGUUGGUGAUUGAUUUGGUCACUACCAUGUGCUAAAGACUUUAUGUCUUGUCAUGUUAAUGAUCAUAGUCAACCCAUUGCAAGGCUAACCACUUUGCAAAACUACCUUUAAUGGUCUCAAAUCAGGCAAGACUACCCGCUGAACUUAA
This 325-nucleotide unclassified non-coding RNA is filed under the name uncultured fungus. RNAcentral's name for it is "sequence contains ITS1". The stretch from base 1 to 106 matches the Rfam family "5.8S ribosomal RNA", at positions 49 to 154 of the family's 154-position model. The record is from RNAcentral. Lineage: Eukaryota; Fungi.